AGCGGCGUGGCUCAGUGGAAAGAGCCUGGGCUUUGGAGCCAGAGGUCAUGAGUUUGAAUCCCAGCUCUGCCA
Molecule: transfer RNA, 72 nt
Filed under: Ornithorhynchus anatinus (platypus)
Lineage: Eukaryota; Metazoa; Chordata; Mammalia; Monotremata; Ornithorhynchidae
Rfam family: tRNA
About the family: Transfer RNA (tRNA) molecules are approximately 80 nucleotides in length. Their secondary structure includes four short double-helical elements and three loops (D, anti-codon, and T loops).
Source: Rfam by way of RNAcentral